GUAGGUGAACCUGCGGAAGGAUCAUUACCAAAUCCAAAAACUUUAUCAACACCUUAUGUGCACUGAGAAUGGUUCCGUUCCCUGCCAACCGCUUAUGGGCGCAGGGGGAGUGCGCAUGCCCUCUUUUGGAACAUGCGCAACCCCCUUGUUUAAGUGGGCAGGUGGGGAAUGUAUUUUUCAACACCUUUUCAACCAUUAAUCCAUUAAAACAUGCUGAAAGCAAACAAAAAACGAAACAUGAGACAACUUU
RNAcentral lists this unclassified non-coding RNA (250 nucleotides) under plant metagenome. RNAcentral describes it as "partial contains small subunit ribosomal RNA, internal transcribed spacer 1, and 5.8S ribosomal RNA". The record is from RNAcentral.